UACAGAGGUCCCAAGCGUUGUUCGGAUUCACUGGGCGUAAAGGGUGCGUAGGUGGUGGGGUAAGUCUGAUGUGAAAGCCCCGGGCUCAACCUGGGAAUGGCAUUGGAAACUGGCUUGCUAGAGUGUGGCAGAGGGGGGUGGAAUUCCGCGUGUAGCAGUGAAAUGCGUAGAGAUGCGGAGGAACACCGAUGGCGAAGGCAGCCCCCUGGGCCGACACUGACGCUCAGGCACGAAAGCGUGGGGAGCAAACAGG
RNAcentral lists this ribosomal RNA (253 nucleotides) under uncultured bacterium. RNAcentral's name for it is "partial 16S ribosomal RNA". It matches the Rfam family "Bacterial small subunit ribosomal RNA", at positions 524 to 776 of the family's 1533-position model. The record is from RNAcentral.